Long non-coding RNA from Gorilla gorilla gorilla (western lowland gorilla), 1681 nucleotides. RefSeq lists it as uncharacterized. The transcript is spliced from 3 exons. NCBI's taxonomy places the organism in Eukaryota, Metazoa, Chordata, Mammalia, Primates, Hominidae. The record is from RefSeq and is a predicted model, not a curated record.
CACUAUGUCACAAUGCCUUCAUCAUUCACCUCAGUUCAUCUCACCAAGUAAGCAUUUUAUCAUCUCAUUAUCACCACAAAGAUGCAUGAUGAAAUGCAUGAAAUGAUAUAAUGUCUGGGAUUUGCUUGAAAAUAAUCACAGCUGUGGGAGGAAGUAAGAAUACAGACAAAACAACAAACAAGAUUGGGCAGGAGCUGACCGUUGUUUAAGAUGAUCACAGCUCCUGAAAAGAUACAGGGUUGAAAGAAGCAAGCAAUUUCAGCUGCUGCCCAACACAGGAGAACAAGUUUGGAGCCCAGCUAAGUUAAGUACCAUUAAUACCAAAAGUCAAUAUUCUUUCAGAGGAAGAUACUAGAAUUCAGUCUUUACACCAUAGCUCUCAAAAUGCACAGUAUAUGAGUCAAACUUACUAGAUCCGUAAUGAAACGGGGAAAUGUGACCACUAGUAAAGAGAAAAAACAGUCAACUGAAACCAAACCCAUAGUAACCCAAAUUUAGAAUAAUCAGAAGACUAUUAUAAACUUUUCAAAACAUGUUUAAGGAUUUAAGAGAAAAUAUGGUCAUAAUAAAUGAACACACAGGUAAUCUAAGCAGAGAAUAAAACAAGGGAACAACAUGGAAAAUCCAGAACUAAAAAGUAUAAUAUCUGAAAUAAAAAAUUCACUGGAUGAACUUAACAGCAGACUGGUGAUGGGUCAGUGAACCUGAAGACAAAGAGAAAUUAUCCAAUCUGCAGAAGAAAAAAAAAGAAAAAAGAAACUGCACCUCAGUGACCUCUUGGACAAUAUCAAGAAGUCUAAUGUGAAACUGGAAGAAAAGGAGAAUGGGACAGGAAAAAAGUGAUGAAAGAAAAAUAUAUCAAGCCAAGAUUCUAUAUCCAGUGAAAAUAUACUUCAAAAGAAGGACAGAAUAAAGAUAUUUGCAGAAUAAUGGAAACAAUAUUCAUCACUAGCAGACCUGUGCUAAGAGAAAUGCUACACAGAAAGUUCUUCAGGCUCAAGGGAUGUAACGUGGAAAUCUGAAUCUAAAGUAGUAAAUGUCAAGAAGGGGCAGUUUUGUCCCACAGGGGACAUCAGGAAAUGUCUGGAGGCAUUUUUGUUUGUCACAAAUGGAGAUUGCUACUGGCACCUCAAUGCUACUGGAUAAACAUCCUGUUAAACAUCCGACCAAGCACAGGACAGCCUCCCAUAACAACAACAAAAAAAUCAACCUACCCUAAAAUGUCAAUAGUGCCAAUGUUGGUAAAUCUUCAUCUAUGGGUAGGAAAGAACAACAAAAAUAUAUGAGCAAAUUGAAACCAACCCAAUAGUCCCACAGACUGUUCUUUUGGAUAAACAGUGAAAUUGAUCUUUUUUGAUCUUUCUGGUCUUAAAGCUUGAAGCUUACAUUUGUUUUAUCUCAGUUCCUUCCUCAGGAAGGGACCUUCACGGCUCUCAAAAAAAUGUGUCAAAGAACUGAAACUCACCAGAUCACCACAUCCAGACAAUGAGACUAGACUCUGGACCUCUCAUUCAUCAUGAUUGCUUCCUUGACCCUCCCUAGUUCCUAUUUUCUUACACAUUGUUACAUUUUUUUCCUUGCUAUAUAAACCGCGAGUUUUAGCCAGUCAGGGAGAUGGAUUUGAGACUGAGAUCCCAUCUCCUCAGCUGCAGCACCCGAUUAAAGCCUUCUUCCUUGGCAA